AUUGAACGCUGGCGGCAGGCCUAACACAUGCAAGUCGAACGAGUGGCGAACGGGUGAGUAAUGCCUCGGAACGUACCCAAUGAUGGGGGAUAACUACUGGAAACGGUAGCUAAUACCGCAUACUAUCGGAUGAGCCCAGAUGGGAUUAGCUAGUAGGUGGGGUAAAGGCUCACCUAGGCGACGAUCCCUAACUGGUCUGAGAGGAUGACCAGCCACACUGGAACUGAGACACGGACCAGACUCCUACGGGAGGCAGCAGUGGGGAAUAUUGCACAAUGGGCGCAAGCCUGAUGCAGCCAUGCCGCGUGUAUGAAGAAGGUCUUCGGGUUGUAAAGCACUGUAAGCUAGGAGGCGUUACCCACAGAAGAAGCACCGGCUAACUCCGUGCCAGCAGCCGCGGUAAUUC
RNAcentral lists this ribosomal RNA (406 nucleotides) under uncultured bacterium. Its description in RNAcentral is "partial 16S ribosomal RNA". It matches the Rfam family "Bacterial small subunit ribosomal RNA", at positions 30 to 526 of the family's 1533-position model. The record is from RNAcentral.